ACGUGGGUAACCUGCCUUAUAGUGGGGGAUAGCCUUUCGAAAGGAAGAUUAAUACCGCAUAAGAUUGUAGUAUCGCAUGAUAUAGCAAUUAAAGGAGCAAUUCGCUAUAAGAUGGACCCGCGUCGCAUUAGCUAGUUGGUGAGGUAAUGGCUCACCAAGGCGCGAUGCGUAGCCGACCUGAGAGGGUGAUCGGCCACAUUGGGACUGAGACACGGCCCAGACUCCUACGGGAGGCAGCAUG
RNAcentral lists this ribosomal RNA (241 nucleotides) under uncultured bacterium. Its description in RNAcentral is "partial 16S ribosomal RNA". It matches the Rfam family "Bacterial small subunit ribosomal RNA", at positions 115 to 353 of the family's 1533-position model. The record is from RNAcentral.